This is a long non-coding RNA of Olea europaea var. sylvestris, 1135 nucleotides long. RefSeq lists it as uncharacterized. The record is from RefSeq and is a predicted model, not a curated record. NCBI's taxonomy places the organism in Eukaryota, Viridiplantae, Streptophyta, Magnoliopsida, Lamiales, Oleaceae. The transcript is spliced from 5 exons.
AUCAAAAGGAUACAAAAAAUUAUUUUGUGCACAGGUCACUGUUUAGGCAAUCGAGAACAAGAAAAAAUUUAAUGUCAAGAUGUGGGGAUUGUGAAAAAUUGAUGAAAAAGUUAAAAGUCAUUACAGUCUUCUGCCUUCAUAUGCAUUGUAAAUGUUUUAGCCUGUCAAUAGCCAUUUUCUGCGAGAUUAGCUUGAGCUGGACUAUAGAUUGACAUUCUCAGUUGUUCAGUGUUGAUUCUUCCUCAGUUACUUGAUGUGUGUGUCCAGCAAGUCUUCCUCAAUUACUUGUAUUGCCGAAAAAUGCAUAAGGGUAUUUUUUUUUUAGCCUACUAUAAUAUCUCAUCAUUGAUGAUAUUACUUAGGCUAUUCAUAUUAAUAAUUUCACAAAAUUGGUCCAUAGACUGAUGAUGCUUGUACUUAAAGAGAACAUGAAAACUCACAGCCAAUAUGUUAUCAAUUUCAUUUUGUAUCCUCCAGUUCAAGCAAUCAAUUAGAACAUGAAAACGCACAGCCAAUAUGUUAUCAAUAGGUUUAAUCUCAAAGAUCUUAUUGCAGGUGAAUUAAAUAUAUGGCAGCGGUUUCAGUUCAUCAGCUCGCUCAGUGCAUUACUUGACAUGCUUGGAGUCCAUACCAUUCUAUGAUAGCAUUAUGCCCAAAUAACAACGAAGUGCAUAUAUAUAGAUUAUCCGAAGACGACAAAUGGGAGAAGAUCCACGUUCUUCAGAAGAAUAUACAUCAAGGGUAACCCACUGAGAAUUUGGUGAGAUUUCUGAAAGCAAGGGAUGGGAAUGUCUCCAAUGCGUAUAAAAUGAUUCAUACUCGAUCUGAGUUUUCUGAGGACAAGCUUCUCUGUGGCGAUCAUGAAGAUUGAAUUUACCCAUUGCAUUCAAAAGAGAGGUGCAGGCCAAGAAGAAAGUAACGGGAAGGAUAUUUUAGAGCUAGCCAACCCAACGAUUUGAAGACAACAAGUUGUAAAUUAUCUUCUUUUAUACAAUAAUUUUCUGUUGUUUAAGAGGAGUGUAAGAUGAUGUUUAUUUGAUGGGCAAUAUGUAAAACAAAAUUUUUUUCCGAUUUAUUACAAUGAUGUGUUUUGACUAUUUGGUAUGGAUGAAUAAAAUUAUAUCAAUUAAAGGCC